GCCUACGGCCAUGCCACCCUGGAAGCUCCCGAUCUCGUCUGAUCUCCGAAGUUAAGCAGGAUCGGGCCCGGUUAGUACUUGGAUGAUGGGAGAUUGAGCCCCAAGCCCUGUGUGUC
Molecule: ribosomal RNA, 116 nt
Filed under: Vulpes vulpes (red fox)
Lineage: Eukaryota; Metazoa; Chordata; Mammalia; Carnivora; Canidae
Source: RNAcentral